This 231-nucleotide ribosomal RNA is filed under the name Triticum aestivum (bread wheat). RNAcentral's name for it is "partial small subunit ribosomal RNA". Lineage: Eukaryota; Viridiplantae; Streptophyta; Magnoliopsida; Poales; Poaceae. The record is from RNAcentral.
AUGGCUAUAACAGGGUUUAUGUUAUUCGUAUUAACUACUACUCUAGGUGGAAUGUUUUUAUGUGGUGCUAACGAUUUAAUAACUAUCUUUGUAGCUCCAGAAUGUUUCAUUUUAUGUUCCUACCUGUUGUCUGGAUAUACCAAGAGAGAUCUACGGUCUAACGAGGCUACUAUGGAAUAUUUACUCAUGGGUGGGAUAGGCUCUUCUAUUCUGGUUCAUGGUUUCUCUUAG